This 841-nucleotide long non-coding RNA is filed under the name Ooceraea biroi (clonal raider ant). RNAcentral describes it as "uncharacterized LOC105279917, transcript variant X1". Lineage: Eukaryota; Metazoa; Arthropoda; Insecta; Hymenoptera; Formicidae. The record is from RNAcentral.
AGAUGUAUGUUUAAUCGUCGAUGAUAUUAUGAUAAAAUAUCGUGAAAACGAGCUAUACACAAUACUCCAUAAUUGAUGUAGAAUCUACAUAAGAUUGCACUGUCAAAAAAGAGAAUUUUGUAUUCCGUAGUAAAUUAUCGAUAUUCAUUCCGUUGACAUUUAUGUAGCAUCGCGAUAUAUCAAUAAUUUCGAGGUUGAGGUAUGUAAGUAAAGAACAGCCUUGACCACCAGUAUCAUACGUUCGGUCACGUUAAUUAAUACAAACGUAAGAAAGUGCAAUUCGUAAACCAAUGUCAUAGUGAUCGACGACGACAUCAUGUUGCAACCGGUCGUAAGGCAACCAUGAUGUAAACUAAAGCGAUUGCAGUGCCAUUCAUGACUUUUUACGAACUAAUUGACUAAUUGACGUGGAUAUCAGCAUAUGGAUAUUCAGAAAUCGACGGUAUUUGAUUUAGUAUACAAAUAUUUACGAAAAUGCGCCGAUCGGGAUGUGAAAUGGAAGCAACGAAAUUGCGCGUGCAAUAAAUUUCAAAAGCAACAUGCGAGAAGAAAGGAUAUUCAAAAACGAGAUGUACCGAUACCGCGCGUCAAUUUCCAUCAAAGUUUUGACGACAACAACGAGCAGUUUAAGUCAGAUAAAAUUAAAUGUGCCAACAAGAUAGUUAGGAAGAAAAGAAGAUGUACUGCGUAUUAUGCGAAAGCUAUCCACGAUGGAUCAAAACACGCAAAAUGCUACAUCAAGGAAGCACUCUUAUAUGGAUUACUAUCCGGAUUAUUAAUUCCGAGUGAUGAACAAAACAUGUUGCGUGUCUCGCGAAAAUUGGGAAACAUUUGUCCGUCG